Molecule: ribosomal RNA, 428 nt
Filed under: uncultured bacterium
Lineage: Bacteria
Description: partial 16S ribosomal RNA
Rfam family: Bacterial small subunit ribosomal RNA
Source: RNAcentral
UGGGGAAUAUUGCACAAUGGGCGCAAGCCUGAUGCAGCCAUGCCGCGUGUGUGAAGAAGGCCUUCGGGUUGUAAAGCACUUUCAGCGAGGAGGAAGGUGGUGAACUUAAUACGUUCAUCAAUUGACGUUACUCGCAGAAGAAGCACCGGCUAACUCCGUGCCAGCAGCCGCGGUAAUACGGAGGGUGCAAGCGUUAAUCGGAAUUACUGGGCGUAAAGCGCACGCAGGCGGUUUGUUAAGUCAGNUGUGAAAUCCCCGGGCUCAACCCGGGAACUGCAUUUGAAACUGGCAAGCUAGAGUCUCGUAGAGGGGGGUAGAAUUCCAGGUGUAGCGGUGAAAUGCGUAGAGAUCUGGAGGAAUACCGGUGGCGAAGGCGGCCCCCCUGGACGAAGACUGACGCUCAGGUGCGAAAGCGUGGGGAGCAAACA